GACGAACGCUGGCGGCGUGCUUAACACAUGCAAGUCGAACGGAAAGGCCCUGCUUUUGUGGGGUGCUCGAGUGGCGAACGGGUGAGUAACACGUGAGUAACCUGCCCUUGACUUUGGGAUAACUUCAGGAAACUGGGGCUAAUACCGGAUAGGAGCUCCUGCUGCAUGGUGGGGGUUGGAAAGUUUCGGCGGUUGGGGAUGGACUCGCGGCUUAUCAGCUUGUUGGUGGGGUAGUGGCUUACCAAGGCUUUGACGGGUAGCCGGCCUGAGAGGGUGACCGGCCACAUUGGGACUGAGAUACGGCCCAGACUCCUACGGGAGGCAGCAGUGGGGAAUAGUGCACAAUGGGCGGAAGCCUGAUGCAGCAACGCCGCGUGCGGGAUGACGGCCUUCGGGUUGUAAACCGCUUUCGCCUAUGACGAAGCGUGAGUGACGGUAAUGGGUAAAGAAGCACCGGCUAACUACGUG
This 468-nucleotide ribosomal RNA is filed under the name uncultured bacterium. Its description in RNAcentral is "partial 16S ribosomal RNA". It matches the Rfam family "Bacterial small subunit ribosomal RNA", at positions 28 to 507 of the family's 1533-position model. The record is from RNAcentral.